RNAcentral lists this non-coding RNA (148 nucleotides) under Homo sapiens (human). The record is from Rfam by way of RNAcentral. Lineage: Eukaryota; Metazoa; Chordata; Mammalia; Primates; Hominidae.
GCUGGGCGUGGUGGCUCAUGCCUGUAAUCCCAGCUACUUGGGAAGCUGAGGCAGGAGGAUCACUGGAACCCAGAAGGUGGAGGUUGCAGUGAGGUGAGAUCACACCACUGCACUCCAGCCUGGGUGACAGAGUGAGACUCUGUCUCAA